CAAGUUCUCCAAGUUUCCUGAAAUAGCCUCUUCUAUUCAAUAUAUGUGUCCUUCCCAAGGAAAAAGUUCCUGAGGCUGCUAAGGAAAACACCAAAGAACACAGAUAUAACCUUCCAAUAAGGGCUCCUUCUAUGUGAAGCUUCCAAGGAGGGAUAUCCAUGCAGAGCCAAGGUGGAAGUUGUUUUGCAGAGGUUUCACCUUCUCACUUCUGCAUGAAAAGGGAGAAGCCCCUAGACACAGAAGCCCCCCUCAGUGAGCAGAUCUCCAGCGGAUGAGCUGGGUCAGGUUUUGGAAGAGAGAGCUUCAUUCUGCAGUUUCACUAACUAUUCAUAUUAGGCAAAGUAGUAAAAGCAAAGGCACCCUGAUGCAUCUGAGCAAAACCAAGCUCCCUCUACUUCCUACAAACCAUACAUGGGCAAAACAUCUUUAAACAUGCCCAUUCUGGAUCUUCUUAAACAUCCUCUUUUUCCCCCACCUUGUAACUAUCCAUAACUAAUUGAAACACCUGCAUGAUCCAUCUGAAUUACUUACAUGGAAGUUCUACUUGGGAAACCCUGACACAGUGUAAUAAGAAGUGUCGUUGGGAUUGUUCAUUCUCAGUCUUGACAAAAUUAAUUGAAUUUUAAAUGUGUGAUUAAUUUUAAGACUUUGGUCCAUUAAUAAUGUUUGUGUUCUAAUUAUCAGAUUUAACCUACUUAGUGACCAAGAUAAUUACCAGGCAAAACACUUAAUUAAAUUGGAGUUAAGACUGUAAACACAAUUUUCUUAAUGGAAAAACCUUAAAGAGAAUGCUCAAGAUCUCAAAAAAUACAAAUUUACAAGAACCUGGAAAGUCAAAGUUAAAACAUAUAUUUGAGUGUAACUGUAAGUUACAAACUUUGGAAGUUAAAUAUUAAGGUUAUCCAACCAAUUUCAACUCUGUCCCUUUUCUGUCUCUUAUAUUCUCCCCCCUGCCCAGCCACUGCAUCUUGUAUGAGAAAUACUGAUAUUUUGAUGAAAGGUUUAAGAAGAUCUGCUUUAUUUGGGGUAUUUGUUUAAGAAUCAAGGGGCUCUGAAGCACCUCUUUGAUUUUACAAGCUCUUCAGGACAGGCACCAUCUUUCUAUUAUGUUUGUACAAUGCACAAUGGGUUCCCAGUCCCUAAGUGGAGGCUCUAAACAAGACUGCGGUAGAAAAACACCUCCACAAUGGAAAUAAUAAAUAAACUAAUAAUAAUAUAUAUAUGUGACUAUGAGAUGAAAAGUCUGUUCCUAUCAUCAUGCACCUGUGGCAUGUAAGCUACAUAAUUUUUGAUCCAACUCCUUAGGGGUUCAGAGCCCCAGACACAGUAGACUUUCCCCAGCAUGUCUCUCUUCCUACCAUUCACCUCCAGGCAAUCCCUUCAUGAUUGUUUCCCCCCCCCCCACUCUCUAGAGAAGAGCAACCGCUUCUGCUUCUCCAUGCAACUCCUACCCAAAUUGAAGUAAUUGUAAUAGAGCAAACUUGAGCUCAAUGUGCUUAUUACUCACGUCUCUCAUAGUGUAUUCUGAAGCUGCGAUUAAAAUAUUUAUUUAAGAUUAAAUCUUUGCAUAUUGUGUCAGGAACCACUCUUUCACUUGACAUAUUGGUAUUGUUACACACGUUCUUCUCCACGUCUCCUCUCAAUGCUCUCACCUUCACUUGCAGUUCUAACAGAAUGAGACUUCCCCAGACACUCAAAAAUUGUACUUGCAAAUACAAUUCCCAGCUUUUAUGAAGCUUCUGGAUGAGUAAUGCAGAAACUAAUGUUCUUGUUACCUCCCAGCUCGCAGUUAGACAAUGUCUCUCAGUUAACACUUAACAGACUGUACUCACAGAGUGCCAGAAACGUACCCAGUCACUAUUAGAUCAUAUAAAUGAUGGAUUGUCUAUGGAUAAAAUACAAGUCUAAAAUGUACAACAGGAAAAAAAGAGGGGGGUAGAAAACAUUUACCCAGAAUUGCACUGUGUCAUAUCUAUGAUGGUUCAGAGAAACAAUUCUCCCUAGGCCAGUUUCCCUCUGUCAUUAUAUACUUUCCUAAUAGCUCUUUUCCAUGCAAGCAAUUGCUACAGUUGCCAAGGGAUUAUACAUGAUUACGAACAAGAGGAGAACUGCUCCAUUCAACAGUGAGUGGGAGGUAGUUGUGCAACAGCUAAUGGGAGAGGAGGUAUGCAGGAGAAGGAGAUACACUUCCCAGUAAGAUGCAGAUUUGCACUAUGAAAAAAUUUGAGAA
This is a long non-coding RNA of Mauremys reevesii (Reeves's turtle), 2230 nucleotides long. RefSeq lists it as uncharacterized. Lineage: Eukaryota; Metazoa; Chordata; Testudines; Geoemydidae. The record is from RefSeq and is a predicted model, not a curated record. The transcript is spliced from 3 exons.